UUUGAGGCCGUGCUGUCCUGUCUGAUCUUGGAAGCUAAGUAGGACCAGGCCUGGUUAGUACUUGAAUGGGAGACCACCUUGGGAGACCAGGGGCUGUUAGAC
This 102-nucleotide ribosomal RNA is filed under the name Mastacembelus armatus (zig-zag eel). The record is from RNAcentral. Lineage: Eukaryota; Metazoa; Chordata; Actinopteri; Synbranchiformes; Mastacembelidae.